UACGUAGGGUGCAAGCGUUAAUCGGAAUUACUGGGCGUAAAGCGUGCGCAGGCGGUUAUGUAAGACAGUUGUGAAAUCCCCGGGCUCAACCUGGGAAUUGCAUCUGUGACUGCAUAGCUAGAGUACGGUAGAGGGGGAUGGAAUUCCGCGUGUAGCAGUGAAAUGCGUAGAUAUGCGGAGGAACACCGAUGGCGAAGGGCAAUCCCCCUGGACCUG
This 216-nucleotide ribosomal RNA is filed under the name uncultured bacterium. Its description in RNAcentral is "partial 16S ribosomal RNA". It matches the Rfam family "Bacterial small subunit ribosomal RNA", at positions 524 to 737 of the family's 1533-position model. The record is from RNAcentral.